UAAAAAAAGGUAAGCUACUAAGAGCGAAUGGUGGAUGCCUUGACUGGUAAAGGCGAUGAAGGACGUACUAGACUGCGAUAAGCUAUGGGGAGCUGUCAAGAAGCUUUGAUCCGUAGAUUUCCGAAUGGGGCAACCCAAUGUAUAGAGAUAUACAUUACCUAUAUAGGAGCGAACGAGGGGAAUUGAAACAUCUUAGUACCCUCAGGAAAAGAAAUCAAUAGAGAUUGCGUCAGUAGCGGCGAGCGAAAGCGCAAGAGGGCAAACCCAGUGCUUGCACUGGGGGUUGUAGGACUGCAAUGUGCAAGAGCUGAGUUUAGCAGAACAUUCUGGAAAGUAUAGCCAUAGAGGGUGAUAGUCCCGUAUGCGAAAAACAAAGCUUAGCUAGCAGUAUCCUGAGUAGGGCGGGACACGAGGAAUCCUGUCUGAAUCCGGGUCGACCACGAUCCAACCCUAAAUACUAAUACCAGAUCGAUAGUGCACAAGUACCGUGAGGGAAAGGUGAAAAGAACUGAGGUGAUCAGAGUGAAAUAGAACCUGAAACCAUUUGCUUACAAUCAUUCAGAGCACUAUGUAGCAAUACAGUGUGAUGGACUGCCUUUUGCAUAAUGAGCCUGCGAGUUGUGGUGUCUGGCAAGGUUAAGCAAACGCGAAGCCGUAGCGAAAGCGAGUCUGAAUAGGGCGCUUAGUCAGAUGCUGCAGACCCGAAACGAAGUGAUCUAUCCAUGAGCAAGUUGAAGCUAGUGUAAGAACUAGUGGAGGACUGAACCCAUAGGCGUUGAAAAGCCCCGGGAUGACUUGUGGAUAGGGGUGAAAGGCCAAUCAAACUUCGUGAUAGCUGGUUCUCUCCGAAAUAUAUUUAGGUAUAGCGUUGUGUCGUAAUAUAAGGGGGUAGAGCACUGAAUGGGCUAGGGCAUACACCAAUGUACCAAACCCUAUCAAACUCCGAAUACCUUAUAUGUAAUCACAGCAGUCAGGCGGCGAGUGAUAAAAUCCGUCGUCAAGAGGGAAACAACCCAGACUACCAGCUAAGGUCCCUAAAUCUUACUUAAGUGGAAAACGAUGUGAAGUUACUUAAACAACCAGGAGGUUGGCUUAGAAGCAGCCAUCCUUUAAAGAAAGCGUAAUAGCUCACUGGUCUAGUGAUUUUGCGCGGAAAAUAUAACGGGGCUAAAGUAAGUACCGAAGCUGUAGACUUGCACACAACUUAGAUUAUUUAAGUUUAGAAUAUGAGAAACUAAGUUAUAUGUUUAGUUAUAUUUUUACUGAUUUUUAUAGAGUAAAGAUAGAAAUAAAACUUAGUAAAAUCAGUAAAAAUAUUCUUAGGCUAAAGUUAAGUAGUUUAAGUUGUGUGCAAGUGGUAGGAGAGCGUUCUAUUUGCGUCGAAGGUAUACCGGUAAGGAGUGCUGGAGCGAAUAGAAGUGAGCAUGCAGGCAUGAGUAGCGAUAAUUAAUGUGAGAAUCAUUAACGCCGUAAACCCAAGGUUUCCUACGCGAUGCUCGUCAUCGUAGGGUUAGUCGGGUCCUAAGUCGAGUCCGAAAGGGGUAGACGAUGGCAAAUUGGUUAAUAUUCCAAUACCAACAUUAGUGUGCGAUGGAAGGACGCUUAGGGCUAAGGGGGCUAGCGGAUGGAAGUGCUAGUCUAAGGUCGUAGGAGGUUAUACAGGCAAAUCCGUAUAACAAUACUCCGAGAACUGAAAGGCUUUUUGAAGUCUUCGGAUGGAUAGAAGAACCCCUGAUGCCGUCGAGCCAAGAAAAGUUUCUAAGUUUAGCUAAUGUUGCCCGUACCGUAAACCGACACAGGUGGGUGGGAUGAGUAUUCUAAGGCGCGUGGAAGAACUCUCUUUAAGGAACUCUGCAAAAUAGCACCGUAUCUUCGGUAUAAGGUGUGGUUAGCUUUGUAUUAGGAUUUACUCCGAAAGCAAGGAAACUUACAACAAAGAGUCCCUCCCGACUGUUUACCAAAAACACAGCACUCUGCUAACUCGUAAGAGGAUGUAUAGGGUGUGACGCCUGCCCGGUGCUCGAAGGUUAAUUGAUGGGGUUAGCAUUAGCGAAGCUCUUGAUCGAAGCCCGAGUAAACGGCGGCCGUAACUAUAACGGUCCUAAGGUAGCGAAAUUCCUUGUCGGUUAAAUACCGACCUGCAUGAAUGGCGUAACGAGAUGGGAGCUGUCUCAAAGAGGGAUCCAGUGAAAUUGUAGUGGAGGUGAAAAUUCCUCCUACCCGCGGCAAGACGGAAAGACCCCGUGGACCUUUACUACAGCUUGACACUGCUACUUGGAUAAGAAUGUGCAGGAUAGGUGGGAGGCU
RNAcentral lists this ribosomal RNA (2307 nucleotides) under Campylobacter jejuni. Its description in RNAcentral is "partial 23S ribosomal RNA". It matches the Rfam family "Bacterial large subunit ribosomal RNA", at positions 1 to 2156 of the family's 2925-position model. Lineage: Bacteria; Pseudomonadati; Campylobacterota; Epsilonproteobacteria; Campylobacterales; Campylobacteraceae. The record is from RNAcentral.